UAAACCUCCCCAUCCCCUGCCAUUUUCCUCUGUUCCUCCGUCCGAAACAGAGCACGGCAACAGCAGACACCCGGAAGAGGGAGAAAGAUGGUUGGAGAUUUCAUGGUGUGCAUGGACAGGAUCAUCUCCUCUGCUUGCUUAGAGGCUGGUAAUGGCGGUGGUGGGUACGGUGCUCCAACGGUCGAUGUUGGUCGGGGCGAGGAGGGGUCUUCCGAGAAGAAGGCUCAGUCUAAGAAGAAGAAGAAGGGUGGAGAUGUUAUAGAGUGCAGGAUAUGCCAAGAAGAAGGGGAGGAGAGCGAGAUGGAAGCCCCUUGCGCUUGUAAUGGCACCCUCAAGUUUGCCCAUAGGAAAUGUAUUCAGAGAUGGUGCAAUAAAAAGGGGGAUAUCACUUGUGAAAUCUGCAACCAGGUUUACUCGCCCGAUUAUUCCCUGCCCCCAAAAAGAGCUUGUUCUGAUGCAAUGGCCAUUGAUAUCAGACAAAGUUGGGGCACACGGAUUGAUCUUCAUGAUUCCCAUUUUCUAGCCAUUGCUGCUGCAGAGCAAGAGUUGCUACGUGUGGAAUAUGAAGAUUAUGCAGCUGCAAAUACCAGUGGCAUUGCCUGUUGCCGCUCUGUUGCGCUCAUUUUGAUGCUACUGUUGCUUGUUCGUCAUAUUCACAUGGUCACAAGGGAUGUUGGAAUGGUGCAGGAUGUAUCAGCCUUCUUCAACGCAUGUCUUCAGUUUGCUGGCCUUUUUCUUCCAUCUAUGUGAUAGCACGUUCAUGCUGCCUUAUACAGAGCCGCAGGAGGCGACAGGUCUAAGAGCCCAUGGAAGCCUUUAGAUUUUACUCUAGCAGAAAGGGAGACAGCUUGUAGUUUCCCAACUGCAAAACUUUUGGGGUGUUAAUGCUUUCCCUGGUUUGGUGCUGAGUCCCUGCUAAGAUUGGCCACUUUCCUUAUGUACAAAAAUGAAUGGGAAUUGAAUUCCUGAGAAAUGGUGAUAGUUACCCAAAAAAUUCUGCUUCGGGAAAUGUGUAUAUGAAAUGGCUUCUCAGUGGUUUGUGGUAG
Molecule: non-coding RNA, 1046 nt
Organism: Elaeis guineensis (African oil palm)
Lineage: Eukaryota; Viridiplantae; Streptophyta; Magnoliopsida; Arecales; Arecaceae
Source: RefSeq, a predicted model, not a curated record